This 391-nucleotide ribosomal RNA is filed under the name uncultured bacterium. RNAcentral's name for it is "bacterial SSU rRNA". It matches the Rfam family "Bacterial small subunit ribosomal RNA", at positions 29 to 419 of the family's 1533-position model. The record is from RNAcentral.
AUUGAACGCUGGCGGAAUGCUUUACACAUGCAAGUCGAGCGGCAGCGCGGGGGCAACCCUGGCGGCGAGCGGCGAACGGGUGAGUAACAUAUCGGAACGUACCCAGUCGUGGGGGAUAACUAUCCGAAAGGAUAGCUAAUACCGCAUACGACCUGAGGGUGAAAGCGGGGGACCGUAAGGCCUCGCGCGAUUGGAGCGGCCGAUAUCGGAUUAGCUAGUUGGUGAGGUAAAGGCUCACCAGGGCGACGAUCCGUAGCUGGUCUGAGAGGACGACCAGCCACACUGGAACUGAGACACGGUCCAGACUCCUACGGGAGGCAGCAGUGGGGGAAUUUUGGACAAUGGGGGGCAACCCUGAUCCAGCCAUUCCGCGUGAGUGAAGAAGGCCUUC